UUCUAUCACUGUGUUUGUGCUGAGGCAACACUUCCUGUGAGCUGCUCCCUGCCAGCGACACAGCCACUGCUGCAAGACCCAGGAUUCCUCCAACAGAUUUUGACUUAUGGAUCUUCCACUGGCCUGGCUGACUCUUGGAACUACAUUGAAGUCCAGCACUCUUCCCACCCACUCCUCUUCCCUGCCCCUCUCCUCUGCAGCUGUCGGACCUGGACUGUGGUCUGAAAGCUCUCCUUGCCUCCCCUGGCAUCCUCCUGCUAACCCUUCACAGGCGUGUUUCCUCCUGUAAAUCUCUGGCUUGUCUAAUCUCAUCCUGGCAUCUGUGCUCAGAAGACAUGAACCAACACAGGGUUGACAAGCCAUCUUUGGAAGGACACGUGGAACAGCCAGAUUGAUGGCAGACAAAACACUGGGAAGCACUUUGAUGGAGGAUGAAGAGACUGAGGAGGGGAUGCAAAGUCAUGAGGAUAAUGAGAUGGCAGAGCCAAAGAUGGGAGCAGUAACCUUCUACAAAGAUGUAUGCCCGCUGCAUAUAUCCCCUUCUCCACAAUCACAGCUACCCUGGCCUCCCUGUACCUCUUUGGGACAGUCCCCAGAGCGCUCUGAGAGAUGGUCUUUAAGGUUAAAUCCUCAGAUGUUGAUUCAAGAGCACCCUCCAAGAAACCUGACCUCCACUGCGGUCUGCCUCCUAGGAAACCUAGCAUGUGAUGGUUGGUGGCAAGAGUGGCACGAGAAAGCAGAUGCUAAAGCUGGGUCACCCACCAGCUGGCUGGAAAUAAGGAGCAUAUGAAGUUGGCUCCAAAGACUGAUGCCCACCAGGCUGGAGGGAGCUGCCUUACCCAAAGCCAUUCCUGCUUCCCUGGGCCGGCCCAGCUUCAGAGCUCCUCCUGGAUUCCAUGCAGUCCAACCUCCCCUGCACCCCCUCCUGCUGCCAUUGGUCCCCCUCAGAUGCUGAUCCUGAGGUAUCAAGCGGUAGAAAAACCUACUGAAUUCAAAUUUCCAUCUCUUUCACUCUCUC
Sus scrofa (pig) is the source of this 1018-nucleotide non-coding RNA. NCBI's taxonomy places the organism in Eukaryota, Metazoa, Chordata, Mammalia, Artiodactyla, Suidae. The record is from RefSeq and is a predicted model, not a curated record.